UGGGGAAUAUUGGACAAUGGGCGAAAGCCUGAUCCAGCCAUGCCGCGUGUGUGAAGAAGGCCUUCGGGUUGUAAAGUACUUUCAGCGGGGAGGAAGGUGUUGAGGUUAAUAACCUCAGCAAUUGACGUUACCCGCAGAAGAAGCACCGGCUAACUCCGUGCCAGCAGCCGCGGUAAUACGGAGGGUGCAAGCGUUAAUCGGAAUUACUGGGCGUAAAGCGCACGCAGGCGGUCUGUCAAGUCGGAUGUGAAAUCCCCGGGCUCAACCUGGGAACUGCAUUCGAAACUGGCAGGCUAGAGUCUUGUAGAGGGGGGUAGAAUUCCAGGUGUAGCGGUGAAAUGCGUAGAGAUCUGGAGGAAUACCGGUGGCGAAGGCGGCCCCCUGGACGAAGACUGACGCUCAGGUGCGAAAGCGUGGGGAGCAAACA
Molecule: ribosomal RNA, 427 nt
Filed under: uncultured bacterium
Lineage: Bacteria
Description: partial 16S ribosomal RNA
Rfam family: Bacterial small subunit ribosomal RNA
Source: RNAcentral